GUAAGGAAUAUUGGUCAAUGGACGAAAGUCUGAACCAGCCAUGCCGCGUGAAGGAUGAAGGCCCUCUGGGUUGUAAACUUCUUUUAUCUGGGACGAAAAAAGGGUAUUCUUACUCACUUGACGGUACCAGAGGAAUAAGCACCGGCUAACUCCGUGCCAGCAGCCGCGGUAAUACGGAGGGUGCAAGCGUUAUCCGGAUUCACUGGGUUUAAAGGGUGCGUAGGUGGGUAUUUAAGUCAGUGGUGAAAUCUCCGAGCUUAACUCGGAAACUGCCAUUGAUACUAUUUACCUUGAAUGCCCUGGAGGUAAGCGGAAUAUGUCAUGUAGCGGUGAAAUGCUUAGAUAUGACAUAGAACACCAAUUGCGAAGGCAGCUUACUACGGGGUGAUUGACACUGAGGCACGAAAGCGUGGGGAGCAAACAGGAUUAGAUACCCGGGUAGUCC
Molecule: ribosomal RNA, 445 nt
Filed under: uncultured bacterium
Lineage: Bacteria
Description: bacterial SSU rRNA
Rfam family: Bacterial small subunit ribosomal RNA
Source: RNAcentral